RNAcentral lists this long non-coding RNA (1276 nucleotides) under Citrus x clementina. Its description in RNAcentral is "Citrus clementina (C. clementina) long non-coding RNA (CCLE_LNC002268)". The record is from RNAcentral. Lineage: Eukaryota; Viridiplantae; Streptophyta; Magnoliopsida; Sapindales; Rutaceae.
AAUAGUUUGUUCUAAGAAAAUAUUAAAUUUGUACUAUAUGUUAAUAAUAAUGUUUCAGUUGUGUUGUUCUUAUAAAUAAUUUUUAAUUUACAUUAUUGAAGUUAAAAAAUUAAUAAAAAUUGUGAUUUACAUAAUUAAGAAUAUUAUUAAUUAGUAUUAAUUUAUAAUUAAAAUUAAUAAUAAAAUAAAUAGAAUAUCUUAAAAAUUUUUAUUCACUUUGUCAUUAAAAAACUACAAUUCUUUAAAUAAGGGUAAAAUUAUAAUUUAAAACAAUCACUCUUAAUCUAAGAUAAAGUAAGCAUAUAAAUAAAAUUUUGAUUCACAUUCCAUACUCUCAUUUCAAUAUAAGAAAACAAUCUACUCUUACUCUACACUCCCAAUUCCUGGAUUCAUACUUCUCAGGAUUCUCACUCCAAUGCGAGAAAUAAACGCUACCUUAAUAUUCUUGAGAUAGAUUGUGGAUCGCAUAACACAACAAAAUGAUGGAGAAACACCAAGAGCCUCUGAAAUUGCAGCAUAAUUAAUAGCUGCAACAAUGGAAUGGAAAACAGAAAAAGGAAAACAUUAAUCAAUUACAUUACUGAAAAUGAUGACAGAAAUGCAUGUUUGAGAAAGGCAUUCAACUAACUAAAAAGCACCAAAUUGAGGCAUUGGAUAGUCAAUAACGCAUGUCCUUGAUAUCUCUUGGCCGUAGGUAAAUAUAUAUACAAAGCCACUGCAUAUAGGAAUUACCACAUUAUUAUUUACACAUGUUUUCAAACAUAUUCAGUUAUUCACCCAUUCUGAAAUUUAAUCAAAUUUAAGCAUAAUUAGAUCCAAAUAACAUGGAUUCUGGACAGAUCAUUGUGACCACACCAUAAGUUAACCUUGGUCCAAAUGGCUACAGCAGUUAGUGCUUACCAAACACUUUAUUGCUUCAGUUUAAAAACUAUAGUUAUUCAAUUUCAAUCCCAAACAUUGCCUAAGUAUUGGUCCAGAUGGCUAGAGCUGGCAAAACGGGCCAUCGGGUCGUGCUCGUAUCGUGUCAAAUUUAGGUAGACCCAAACCCGACCCAUUUAAUAAUUGUGUCAAAAUAUUGUGACCCAAACCCGACACGGAAAAAUAACCGGGUUACUCAAUAACCCGCUUAAUAUCUAUAUAUUAAACAAAAGUUACAUCAAAUAUUUACACAUUGUCAUACAUAGAUACAUACAUACAUACAUACAUAUAAACAUAAUUUAUCGAUAUUAUAAAAUAUACAUAUAUAACAAAAUAUUAUACAUUUACACUAUUGAAG